UUCUGUGCCAGGUGACGACAAGGACGC
RNAcentral lists this non-coding RNA (27 nucleotides) under Homo sapiens (human). The record is from RNAcentral. Lineage: Eukaryota; Metazoa; Chordata; Mammalia; Primates; Hominidae.